This 2544-nucleotide long non-coding RNA is filed under the name Homo sapiens (human). RNAcentral's name for it is "PREDICTED lncRNA (TCONS_00146957)". Lineage: Eukaryota; Metazoa; Chordata; Mammalia; Primates; Hominidae. The record is from RNAcentral.
GGGAUCCCACGCGGCCUCGACGGGAGCCGGGAGUAGGCGGACUCCCAGGCCGGGCUCGCGCUCUGGAUCCCUGAAUCCGGCCUUUCCGGCCGGACUGCCGCGCCUGUGGCCGGAAGAGCCAGCUAGACCAGAGAGUCUGUACCUGCAACCCUGGCGGCGUCCGAGCCCAAGGCGGAGUCUGGGAGACAAAGAAGUCCUCGCCGCCGGCCGCUGGAGGAUUCUGCCAGUAGUGAAGUCAGGGAUGGGCCCGAGAGAGCUUGGAAAGAGGACAAGGAAGGGAAGGAGUAGGAGUAGAAAAGCAUGACUUUGGCUGGGUAUGGUAGCUCCUGUCUGUAAUCCCAGCACUUUGGGAGGCCAAGGCGGGGGAGGAUCACUUGAGCCCAGGAAUUCGAUACCAGCCUGGGCAACAUAGUGAGACCCCGUUUUUAUUUUUAUUUUUAUUUUUUCCUGAGAUGGAGUCUUGCUCUGUCCCCAGGCUGGAGUGCAGUGGCGCGAUCUCGGCUCACUGCAAACUCCGCCUCCCGGGUUCAAGCAAUUGUCCUGCCUCAGCCUCCCGAGUAGCUGAGAUUACAGGCGCCCGCCACCAAGCCCGGAUAAUUUUUGUCUUUUUAGUAGAGAAGGGGUUUCACUAUGUUGGCCAGGCUGGUCUCGAACUCCUGACCUUGUGAUACGCCUGCCUCAGCCUCCCAAAGUGCUGGGAUUACAGGCAUGAGCCACCGCGCCCGGCCUAAUUUUUUAAUUUUUUCUAGAGAUGGGGUCUCGUUAUGUUGACCAGGCUGGUCUUGAACACCUGACCUGAAGUGAUCCUCUUGCCUCAGCCUCCCAUAGUGCUGCGAUCACAGGUGUAAGUCACUGAGUUUGGCCAUUAUUCCAUUUCUGUACACAAAAACCUUUCUCAUUCUGUGCUAUAACUAGUUAGCAUUUAAUUGGGUGGAUGUGGUAUAACUAGUGCCUUGUUGAUAUUGAUGCAUAUUUACAUGGUUUUGCUGUUAUAAACAAUGGUCCCUUGCUAUUAUAAAUCACACUGCUAUAAGUAACCUUGCAUCUAAAUUACUUCAAAUGUGUAACUAUAUGGGUAGGAUAAUUUCUAGAAGUGGAAUUGUGAACCAAAGUUUUAGGUGCAUUUGUAAUUUUGAUUUAUAACCAAUCUUUUCACUGAUCUACUUCUCUGCCUCUAAUUUCUACUAGGUGUUUGUUUGUUUGUUUGUUUGUUUUGAGACAGGGUCUUGCUCUGUCACCCAGGCUGGAGGACAGUGGUGCAAUCACGGCUCACUGCAGCCUCAACCUGCCACCUCAGCCUCCUGAAUAGUUGGGGUGUGUGGCAGGUGUAUACCACCACUUCCAGGUUUUUUUGUUGUUGUUGUUUAAUAGAGAUGAGGUCUUGCUAUAUUGCCCAGGCAGGUCUCACACUACUGAGCGCAAGCGAUCCUCCUGCCUAUGCCUCCCAAAGUGCUGGGAUUACAGGUGUGAGUUGCCAUGCCUGGCCCGGUUAUCUUUCUAAAGCAUAAAGCAACCCUGUUGAUCCUCUGCUUAAUUUUGAUGAUUAAGUAGUAUGUUCAAAAUAUAGAAAUCCAUGUAUUGAUAAUGAUCUUUUAAAAAAAGUAAAAGCCAAAAUAUCAGCUACUCAUCCUACACCAUUGAAAGUAGUGACCAUUAAACUGCUCUACCUCUACCUCCACCUCUCUACCUCUCUACCUCUCUACCUCUACCUCUACCCACGGUCUCCCUCUCUUUCCAUGGUCUCCCUCUCAUGUGGAGCCGAAGCUGGACUGUACUGCUGCCAUCUCGGCUCACUGCAACCUCCCUGCCUGAUUCUCCUGCCUCAGCCUGCCGAGUGCCUGCGAUUGCAGGCACGCGCUGCCACGCCUGACUGGUUUUGGUGGAGACGGGGUUUCGCUGUGUUGGCCGGGCCGGUCUCCAGCCCCUAACCGCGAGUGAUCCGCCAGCCUCGGCCUCCCGAGGUGCCGGGAUUGCAGACGGAGUCUCGUUCACUCAGUGCUCAAUGGUGCCCAGGCUGGAGUGCAGUGGCGUGAUCUCGGCUCGCUACAACCUACACCUCCCAGCCGCCUGCCUUGGCCUCCCAAAGUGCCGAGAUUGCAGCCUCUGCCCAGCCGCCACCCCGUCUGGGAAGUGAGGAGUGUCUCUGCCUGGCCGCCCAUCGUCUGGGAUGUGAGGAGCCCCUCUGCCUGGCUGCCCAGUCUGGAAAGUGAGGAGCGUCUCCGCCCGGCCGCCAUCCCAUCUAGGAAGUGAGGAGUGCCUCUUCCCAGCCGCCAUCACAUCUAGGAAGUGAGGAGCGUCUCUGCCCGGCCGCCCAUCGUCUGAGAUGUGGGGAGCGCCUCUGCCCCGCCGCCCCAUCUGGGAUGUGAGGAGCGCCUCUGCCCGGCCGCGACCCCGUCUGGGAGGUGCAUGCCUUCCUUAUUUCUCAUACUCAUCACCUCCUCUUCCCGCUUGGAACUGCCCACACUGGUGAUUUCCUUGUUAAGGAACUUGAUGGCGUUGUGCAUGCUCGCUGACAGGGGACGGCACUGAGUCAGGAAGCUAUAA